UAUACAUUACAAUUGAUGUUAUUCUUGUAACAAUAAAUGUUAAAUUAUAUACUUAAUUAUUAACCAAAUAUGCCUCAUUUGUUUGUUACGUACAGCUGUGCAAAUAGGGCUUCACCUGGACAGUCUACAUAAUUUUUCCAAUUUCCACAUUCCAAUAAGGAAUUGAAGAAGUGGAUUGGAGCUAUUAAAAGAAAAAAUUUCAAACCAUCACAGCACAGUAGAAUUUGCAGUGAUCAUUUUACUAAUGAUGACUUUCAACACUCAUAUAUCAAUGUCAUGAACCGUGAUAAAAACUGUAAAAUGCAAGGCAAAUAGAACCAAAUUCAGUCUUAUUAACAAAACAAUGUGGACAAAUAAUUUACAAAAUAAAUUAAUAUUAUUAUUAAAACACUUGACACUUUAA
Sipha flava (yellow sugarcane aphid) is the source of this 403-nucleotide long non-coding RNA. RefSeq lists it as uncharacterized. The record is from RefSeq and is a predicted model, not a curated record. Lineage: Eukaryota; Metazoa; Arthropoda; Insecta; Hemiptera; Aphididae. The transcript has 2 exons.